AUGGACAAAAACUCAAAUGUUGUGGACCUUCGGCGCAUGCGUCUUUUCAUUGACUACAUUGCGGAGAUGGCUCUUCGUGAGAUCGUUCACGUCGGGGCUAGGGCCCGACAACCUCCCCACGGCCCACCACUUCUCCCAACUCCUUCUUCGGCAGCGAGGGGAGUGGCCGCCCCGACCACCCGGCCUUACCAGCGCCGCCGCCCCGGCCACCGCCCCCCACCGUGUCGCCGCCCCUGCCACCGGGCACCCCACCGCACCGCCGCCCCGGUCACAGCGCGCCGUCCUUGCCUCCCCCGGCCGCCGCCACCAUUUCUGCCUCCUACAGCCGCCGCGCGCCGUCCCUGCCUCCGACGGCCGCCGCGCGCCGUCCCUGCCUCCCACGGCCGCCGAGCGCAAUCCUGGCCUUCCACGGCCGCCGCGCGCGGUCCCCGCCUCCCGCCUCCGUGCGCUAACCCCAAACCACGUGCCAUCCCGGCUGAGUGUUGCUCUCCUGUUGCUGGUGUCGAGCUCAGCGAGUGGCCACCGGUGGCGCCAUCCUCCACCCAGCUGCCUCCCUGCAGCCCUGCACGCAGCCAGCCUUGGAGACCACCCUCCAUCACGGCCGUCGUGGCCUACAAUACUGCCGGCCGCCGCGCGUCACUAUCGGCCGCGUUCCUCCACGCCUCCCCAAUCCACCGCAUGUUGCUACUGCCACUUCAGCAUCGCCCUCUGCCGCCUCAGCUCAUAGUCCGUUCAAGCUCAGUCACCAGGCCAUUCACCACCACCACCAGAGCCCGUUCAGUUGGCAACGUUCAUGCUGCUGCCAAUGUGGUUGUUGGGGCUAGUCAACUAGAAGAUCUGCAGCUCCUCAGUCCAACUUAUUGCUUAGCUUCCGUUCAACAGGGGCGCAGGGUUCAGUUCGAUGACGAUGAGCCAGGUUGCUGGCCUUUGCAUCAUGAACUGGUGCAGUUUGAUCUUGUGCGAAUUGGAAAUUUCCUGAUGCUGAUUACAGGAGAAAGUACCCUAUUCCAUUACUUUGAGAAGUACAGGUACACCUUUCUAAAAAGUACAUUGCAGACCCGGUGCUCCCCUGCACAAAUGGAGUCUGAAGCUCACCAAGCUACCUCCUCCCGCCGGUGGGGCUCUGUCACUGCAGCGCCCCGGCCGUUCACUAUUGCCAAACCAGGCCGUUCAACAAACAACGCUAAGCCGUUCGACACCGCAGCUCGGGAGGCUACCUGUUUUGCUGUCGAUCCCGUCCUCGGUGUCCACGAGCGUGAGCACCCCGUAUCCGGUGGCGAGAUGAAGGCCACCUAUGAUCCCUGCUUCCCGUCAUCACCUCCACCUCCCUUAGCCACCCUCGGCCACGAGCUCGUCCACCAUGGUUACUGGCAGUCGUCCAAGUGGAGCACAGACAUCAGUCCAAGUAGAAUCGCGGACACCAUCUUCACCAAGCGCUGCACGUUUGAAUUCUGCAUGUCAAUUCUAUGGAAGCUUGUUGGAGAUGCGGCCAGCAUGCUUUCAGUAAUAACGGCAACCACAAACAGCAUUGGCAGCCAGCACACGCACUACAUGCUCGGCUGCUGCACACUACCGCCAUGGACAACACCCGGUAGUUCUGGAAUCUGGGAGUCAAGGAAAAAAGGAUCCAAAAUGAGCAUCGGGAGGGUUAGCAGUUCAUUCACCAUUUUUUGCAGGUCCAAACGUCUCAAGCUGCUAAGGCCUACAUCUCCCUGCCAAUGUCCGAUCGCCUGUGCUGACAUGGACGUGGGAAACAUGUGUACCUUGAGAAAAGUUCACAGAAUAAAUGCUAGGAGGUUCAUUUUGUGUUUGUGUAAAUGUCUUCAAUGCUUGUGUGGAGAGCCGGAGCGCCCUGGCCGAUCACAGCCACCACCGCAGGCCGUUCAAUGCCACCUUCACAGGCGGUUCAUCGUAGCAGCAACCUGGAUCCCACUGGUUCCCACCAGCGACAUUCGUUCGAGCACGUCCUCGCUGUCCUGCAGUAGUGUGGCUCAACUAUUGCACUUGGUCGAGGUCAGAGCCUUUCGAGUUGUCAAGCCCAGCCAUGGCGUGCGUCCGCUGGACGACGACGGCUUCGUGUCCGUGCUUGCGUGUGCUCAUGUGUUGUACUGCUUCAAACAACCUUUCAUCAUAAUGUUGUGCCUGGGGAGGCAGAUGACGAGGUCGACAACGCCCAAGGCUUGGACAGUGUUCAGCAGCCUGGCGUCGUUCCCAGCGGAGGCAACCGAGCGGCCGCCAAAGCUCUUCGACGCCGCUGGCGUCGAGGACCGGCUCAGCGCACUGCCGGACGACCUCCUCAUCCACAUCCUCCUCAAGCUCCUGGACGCCCCCGUCGCCUCUCAGACCAGCGUCCUCGCCCCCGCUAGCGCCGCAUCUGGGCUCUCCUGCAAGAGCUUCACUUCCUCGCUGCCACUAACCCCGAUGGCAUACGCGCCGCCCUCGCCUCCCAUGAUGCCCUGGACCUCAGCCACCUUUCCAUUACCGCCAUCGAGGCCACCCCUGAAUCUGAAUCGAGAGAAUCCAUGGUGGCAUACUGGCGCGGGCUAG
RNAcentral lists this ribosomal RNA (2547 nucleotides) under Triticum aestivum (bread wheat). RNAcentral describes it as "partial small subunit ribosomal RNA". Lineage: Eukaryota; Viridiplantae; Streptophyta; Magnoliopsida; Poales; Poaceae. The record is from RNAcentral.